This 120-nucleotide ribosomal RNA is filed under the name Jaculus jaculus (lesser Egyptian jerboa). Lineage: Eukaryota; Metazoa; Chordata; Mammalia; Rodentia; Dipodidae. The record is from RNAcentral.
GUCUACAGCCAUACCACCCUGAACACACCCAUUGUUGCCUGAUCUUGGGAGCUAAGCAGGGUCUGGCCUAGUUAGUACUUGGAUGGGAUAAUUUGAGGCCAGACUAGGCUAAGUGAGAUC